GUAAAUGAAAUAUUAAAAUAAGUCAGGUCCUGGACUGAUUGAAAGAUUAUGUCUCCAUCAUAUGAAAAUCAAGCACAAUCCCUUCCGUUGCUGAUUUUUUUCAUUAAUUGUAACUCAUAACAAAACAGAAACAGGUCAGCAAUAAGUGGUGCACAGUUAUUCCCCAUUGGAAUUCUGAUAGCUUGACAAUAUACGUAAACUCCAUAGCAGACAAAAAUGAUAUCUAGUAAAAAUUUAAGGGCAGUUAUGGUAUCAAAGCAGGUCCAAUUG
Molecule: long non-coding RNA, 270 nt
Filed under: Mytilus galloprovincialis (Mediterranean mussel)
Lineage: Eukaryota; Metazoa; Mollusca; Bivalvia; Mytilida; Mytilidae
Source: RNAcentral